UGACCUUUUUUGUUGUUAAGUUUAUUGUUCAUGGAGAGUUUUUGUUUCACGUUUGCAUUCACGUAAUGCACAAUCUCCAGGGACUGAGAAUCAGAUGGAUGACUUCAUGCACAUGUUUGCCAAUAUCCAAACUAACUGUGAAAGAUGAAGCCAUGAAACCAGACAUGGAGCUCAAAACAAGAGUUUUCACCCCUCAGCACUGCAGUUUGCGGAUGCUGCGGUAGAGGCGCUUGAUCUCACGCUGCCCUUUCUGCCAACGCUUCAGUGACGUGAUCACCAGGUUCCCGUCCAGAUUCUGACCCAUCACGAGGAGAUCUCCUUCACCUUAAUCUUCAGAACUGGAGGAUGGAGAAGACACGUAAAGCAGUAAGGAUUGAGCUUUCGUUUGGAACAGUUUUAAAGUUCAAUAAUGUGCAAUUUUCCAUCCCAAAAAUCCAGAAAUGAAGGAAUGUACCCCCGAAA
Long non-coding RNA from Silurus meridionalis, 462 nucleotides. RefSeq lists it as uncharacterized. The record is from RefSeq and is a predicted model, not a curated record. The transcript is spliced from 3 exons. NCBI's taxonomy places the organism in Eukaryota, Metazoa, Chordata, Actinopteri, Siluriformes, Siluridae.